RNAcentral lists this long non-coding RNA (646 nucleotides) under Cyanistes caeruleus (blue tit). RNAcentral describes it as "lncRNA (ENSCCEG00000008267.1)". The record is from RNAcentral. Lineage: Eukaryota; Metazoa; Chordata; Aves; Passeriformes; Paridae.
GGGAAGAGUUAUUAAUCCCAGUUUGUCACUGCAGGGGGAAUAGUUAUAACUUGCAUGCCAAUAGCAAUGAUUCAGUGGUAAGUGACCAACACAGUCUGUAAGCUCCCUGUCAAGUCUGCAUUUCCUCCUGAAAAGCUUCCAUGUAUUUCUCCCGAAAACCUCAGUGUUUCCACGCUUGAAUAUAAAAACUUCAUUUGAAUGCAAAUAUCCUUCCCCUGUCAGUAGCCCUGAAAUCACUGCAGAGGAUUGAAGCAAACAGUGAUUUCUAAGAAGUGUAGCCUGCAGUAUCUGUGGAGAAACCAGAAACAGCAGCUCUGGCUAGUCAUUGACAGAAACUCUGCUCCCCAAGAAAUGGCAAAAAGGAAUGGCACAAAUGACAGAGCUGACAAGCAGAGAAAUUGCCAUUAAAACUGGUAGAGGCAACAAACACAUUUUCUUGUGCUGAGGGACUCUGCUGAUGUGCGCAACAGAGAAAAACUCUGAAAGAGGGACCCUGCCAUCGAUGUUUUGUUCUCAUGCCAAACUCCUGGACUAUAAAAAUCUGCCUAUAAGCCAAGAAAAAACACUUCCCUGAAAGGAUUUUCAAGUUACGACUUCAUGGCAAGAUGGAAAUAAAAAAUGGGAGAUCAUUUUGGAUCUUCUGCCU